This is a long non-coding RNA of Hordeum vulgare subsp. vulgare (domesticated barley), 496 nucleotides long. RefSeq lists it as uncharacterized. The transcript has 2 exons. The record is from RefSeq and is a predicted model, not a curated record. NCBI's taxonomy places the organism in Eukaryota, Viridiplantae, Streptophyta, Magnoliopsida, Poales, Poaceae.
UUUUUUAUAUGGAGUUCAAUUAGUUUUUCAGUCAUAUGAAAGGAAAAUGCAGGAACCCACAUAACUGCAUAAUGUAGAUGAAAGUCAUGAAACUUAAUAUGUAAAUUUCUACGUAUUGUGCUAUUAAGUUUUUUCAGAUAGUGGGAAUUAUUUAGUAGUCUAGUUAUCGCGCAGAACAAGGUUCAAAUCCUGGACAACCAUUGCUGCAAAUUUUACCCCACCCCCACCCCAAAAUUAUGGAUGAGAAUCAAACUUGGAUCAUCAAGCAGAGGCAAGUUACCAUACUGCUUGGCUAUGGUAGGUUUAAUUAUCAGUAAUAUGGAUUGGAGGGACAAUUAAUAUGGAUCGGAGGGAGUAUGUUUCUACGACAGAAGCUAUUGCGUUAAAUAAGGGAAAAGAAGGUCAUAAUCCCGAGCUUUCUGGGAACUUCUCCAGGGAUAUUUGUGUUAUUUCCGAGAAACUCCAAUAGCCAGAGAACAACCCAUGUGUAGAAAAA